GUGCUUGCUUUGGCAGCGCACACACUGAAAUUGGAACAAUGCAGAGAAAGUGAGCAUGGCCCCUGCUCAAGGAUGACACACAAGGUCGUGAAGUGUUCCAUAUUUUU
Molecule: small nuclear RNA, 107 nt
Organism: Pipistrellus kuhlii (Kuhl's pipistrelle)
Lineage: Eukaryota; Metazoa; Chordata; Mammalia; Chiroptera; Vespertilionidae
Source: RefSeq, a predicted model, not a curated record